RNAcentral lists this long non-coding RNA (350 nucleotides) under Gossypium raimondii (Peruvian cotton). Its description in RNAcentral is "long non-coding RNA (GRAI_LNC005187)". Lineage: Eukaryota; Viridiplantae; Streptophyta; Magnoliopsida; Malvales; Malvaceae. The record is from RNAcentral.
UUUUGUUUGGUUAUUUCAAGACCAAAAAUCCCACCAUUGGUAACCACAAGGGGACUGAUCAAAAAGACCGUCAGAGUCUAAACUGCGCCAAUCUUCUGGAGAGGAUAAAGAACCGUCAGCUGGAUCCACCAUGCUCAUAAGGUUGGGCUCUUCUUCCAGUCCGAAGUAAUCCGUCCUUAUGGCACUAUCAUCAUCCGAUAAGGCUCCUAGUGCAUGUUCCGAUCUUCCCAUUGAUAAACUAAGCUGCCCUUCUGAAUCAGACUUCACAGUCGUCUCUCCCUUAUCUGAGGCUCCCUCACUGCACCUCAUACCAUUAACUUGUCCGCAACACUGCUCUUCCUCUUUCGGCU